This 253-nucleotide ribosomal RNA is filed under the name uncultured bacterium. RNAcentral's name for it is "partial 16S ribosomal RNA". It matches the Rfam family "Bacterial small subunit ribosomal RNA", at positions 524 to 776 of the family's 1533-position model. The record is from RNAcentral.
UACGUAGGCAGCGAGCGUUGUUCGGAGUUACUGGGCGUAAAGAGUGCGUAGGCGGUGUUCCAAGUCUGUUGUGAAAUCUCCCGGCUCAACUGGGAGGGUGCGCCGAAUACUGAAUGACUAGAGUGCGGGAGAGGAAAGUGGAAUUCCUGGUGUAGCGGUGAAAUGCGUAGAUAUCAGGAGGAACACCGGUGGUGUAGACGGCUUUCUGGACCGUAACUGACGCUGAGACACGAAAGCGUGGGUAGCAAACAGG